Molecule: transfer RNA, 85 nt
Filed under: Ignavibacteria bacterium
Lineage: Bacteria; Pseudomonadati; Ignavibacteriota; Ignavibacteria
Description: tRNA-Leu
Rfam family: tRNA
About the family: Transfer RNA (tRNA) molecules are approximately 80 nucleotides in length. Their secondary structure includes four short double-helical elements and three loops (D, anti-codon, and T loops). Further hydrogen bonds mediate the characteristic L-shaped molecular structure. tRNAs have two regions of fundamental functional importance: the anti-codon, which is responsible for specific mRNA codon recognition, and the 3' end, to which the tRNAs corresponding amino acid is attached (by aminoacyl-tRNA synthetases). tRNAs cope with the degeneracy of the genetic code in two manners: having more than one tRNA (with a specific anti-codon) for a particular amino acid; and 'wobble' base-pairing, i.e. permitting non-standard base-pairing at the 3rd anti-codon position.
Source: RNAcentral
GCACCAAUGAUGGAACUGGUAGUCAUGCUUGUCUCAAAAGCAAGUGUCGAAAGACGUGUAGGUUCGAGUCCUACUUGGGGUACUA